Molecule: long non-coding RNA, 590 nt
Organism: Gordionus sp. m RMFG-2023
Lineage: Eukaryota; Metazoa; Nematomorpha; Gordioida; Chordodea; Parachordodidae
Exons: 5
Source: RefSeq, a predicted model, not a curated record
AUUUUUUGUUUAUAAAAAUAUAAUUGCAAUCACAACAUAAAAACAAGAUUUUCUUAUUUUUUGAAAUCACAUUGCCUUUUUUUUAUACAAUGUUGCACUUAUAUAUAAUAAUCGCAAGUGUAAUUAUAUUUCAAUUUUCUGUCCCAAAUUAUGCCAUGGAAAGUGAAGCAAAUAGAAUCUCAGAAACCCCAAGAGAUGAUGUAAAGAGUGUAUACAUUGGACCACAUACGCCAGGAAACACAUUUGUGUGCCCUCCUGGCAGCUAUAGGGGGUGUCAUCUUGUCUAAUAUGAAAGAUUUUUAGCUUUAUAGCACCAAUGAAUUCCUUUUACAAAUCUUGAGAGAAAAUUUUAAAUAAAUUCUUCUUUUAUUUCCUCUCUUCCAACUCUUUGUUAAAUUAUAGAUAUAUUUGUGAAUUGGGGAAUUAAAUUUAUAUGUACAUAAUUCUUAAAUUGCUAUCAAAUAAAAGUAAAAAUAUAUUAAUAUAGGAUGAAUUAUUUAUUUAAGAAAUAGACAUGUAUCAUUUAUUGUGAGAAAAGAUCUUCCCGUGUAACAUUUGAAACUGACAGAAAAUUGGCAAAAAAGACAUAC